AUAAUGAUACUUCCGUAAUUCGCGGCCCGGUCACAAAGCAGACGGGGUGGCUGAAGUGCCAAUGA
RNAcentral lists this non-coding RNA (65 nucleotides) under Faecalibacterium prausnitzii. RNAcentral's name for it is "pemK RNA". It matches the Rfam family "pemK RNA". The record is from RNAcentral. Lineage: Bacteria; Bacillati; Bacillota; Clostridia; Eubacteriales; Oscillospiraceae.